AUUGUUAAUUUCUUAUUCUUUGUUCACCGUUUAUCUUCCAAUUUGUUCAUACAAAUUAAAAAUUGAAAUUUGUGAUACUAUCUAAAUAAGGUUGUUGUUGUGAUGAUGCUUUGUGAUGUACAUUGUUGAUAUGCUUCAUAAUUGUGGAAUGCUUCUUAAUGCUUCAUAAUUUGAUGAAAAAUCUGAAACAAACAGGCUCAUCAUUGGAUCAUGAUCACAACGAAAUAUUAACAGAGGUAUCAACACAAGAAUUAGUAGCUUUGCGAUACGAGUAACAAACUUUAAUUUACCAAUCCAUAGUGAGCAAUUGACGAAUAUGCUGCAACAACCUCCAAUCAACCACACUAUCUAAGGAAUCCUCCAACAACAUAUCAACAAUCAUUAUUGGAAUUUACUCACAUUCGUUGUAAUUUGGUUCAUGAAAUUUUGAAGUUAGAUGACCAUAUUUACAAGAAUUAGUUUUUCUCAUGUCAUAUAAGUAGUGUUUAUCAUCGGAAGGUAUAAAGUGUUUUUAUAUCUAAAAAAACCUAUUAUUUCAUUCCCUCAAACUCGGAAAAUAGGAUAUGUGACAAGAAGUCAUGUUGAACUGAUCAAAACUGAUAAUAAUCCUAAUUUAUGGUCCUUUGAAACAAGUUCUUAUGCUUUUUCUAAGACUCAAAUUGCUUGC
RNAcentral lists this long non-coding RNA (667 nucleotides) under Trifolium pratense (red clover). Its description in RNAcentral is "long non-coding RNA (TPRA_LNC008009)". The record is from RNAcentral. Lineage: Eukaryota; Viridiplantae; Streptophyta; Magnoliopsida; Fabales; Fabaceae.